GUAAACCGGAGGAGGUGGUGGAGGAGACUUAUGCUUGUAAACGGGUGGUGGUGGGGAUUUGUACAUUGGUGGAGGUGGUGGUGGAGACUUGUACUUGUAAACGGGUGGUGGUGGGGACUUGUACUUGUAAAUAGGUGGCGGUGGGGAUUUAUGGACUGGUGGAGGUGGUGGUGGGGACUUGUACUUGUAAACGGGUGGUGGUGGGGAUUUAUAAACUGGUGGAGGUGGUGGUGGAGACUUGUACUUAUAAACGGGUGGUGGUGGGGACUUAUACUUGUAAACGGGUGGCGGUGGGGAUUUAUAAACUGGUGGAGGUGGUGGUGGAGACUUGUACUUGUAAACGGGUGGUGGUGGGGACUUGUACUUGUAAACAGGUGGCGGUGGGGAUUUAUAGACUGGUGGAGGUGGUGGUGGAGACUUGUACUUAUAAACAGGUGGUGGUGGAGACUUAUACUUGUAAACGGGUGGUGGUGGAGAUCUAUAAAUUGGUAGAGGUGGUGGCGGGGAUUUGUACUUAUAAACUGGAGGU
RNAcentral lists this long non-coding RNA (529 nucleotides) under Nicotiana tabacum (common tobacco). RNAcentral's name for it is "long non-coding RNA (NTAB_LNC005274)". Lineage: Eukaryota; Viridiplantae; Streptophyta; Magnoliopsida; Solanales; Solanaceae. The record is from RNAcentral.